CCGCGUCUCAUAAAGCAACCACACUAAUCUAAGCGGAGACGAAUCUAAUCGAUUCGUGAGCGGCCGAAUGGUCACGAAUGUAUCCGAAAAUGCGCACGAGCAACCUGUAAGCCAGCCAGGGAGUGAGACAGCAUGAUUGAAGGGACUGUAGGCAGGCAGACCAGCAGAGAGUCUCCGACCGCUCUGGAGCAGAAGUCCGUGAGACACAAACUCUGGAUUCACAACAAGAGAAGCUUUUCCAAUCUACCGUAGUUAUAGCAACCAGUCUCAAUAACGGGAUUAUAACGGCCGCGUGGCACAUUAGUAGAGGAAGAGUCGUUACUCUGUGGAAUCAAAGAAUUUUCCAGUUGAUUUUAAAAGUGGAUUUGUACGUGGCCAACUGAACCGGGUGAAACGAGCGGUUGCCUUGCACGGAAAGAAAUGCAAACCGCGGCGGAACGGAGAGACGACAUUGUGGAUGGUGACUGAGGCCAUCAGAGGCUUCUGUUUUGGAAGAAAGGAAGACAUGCAGGUUUAAAACAACAUGAGAGUGAAUAAAUGAUGACAGAGUUUUAAUUUGUCCUUCCACACAGCAAUUCUUUCCGCCAGGAGUUAUUUUAAGAAGGGAGCCUAUAAUAUACAUGACCAUACGUGAACACUGCGGGCAAGGGUUUCAACCGUCCAGAGUUUUUAUUGAUUAAAAACAAACAAACAAGCAUAUGUGAGGAACUUCAGAGUGCUCAUGAGGCAUGUCAGCAAUAUCAAAUGAUCUGGAAAAGCUCAAGAGCAACUUUCGUGCAAUUGCAUCAUAAUUCUGGAAUAAUUUGGCCAAAGACAACAUUGUUUUCUUGAUCCUGUGCAGUCUUCUGGUACUAAUGUUCAUUUGGUCUGUGUAAUUAGUUUAAUAUCCUGUCAGUUCUGGAUUUGAUCAUAAAGACAGGACGGCUCCUGAGGCUAAAAGAUGGCUGGAGAAAAUUUAUGGUCUAUAUUUUGACUGGCGUUAAGAUGAACUGACCAUAUCGCCCCCAGUAGCACACGUGUGAUUGGAUCACUGUCACAUUUAUGUCAUUGUAUUUGUUGCUUUGGUAAAUGACUUAACAAAACAGUCAAUCAUUGUGACCUGCUGAAAUAAAAUGUAAUAAUAAUAAUAAAAUAAAAAAAAAUAAAAAAAAAAGAUGUGCAUGAAAAUAAUUUUGUGUAUACAUUAACUGUAGGUCAGCAUUUUUUACAUUAAUAACAUAAGUGUCAUAGCAGCUGUCAGUAAAGAGCUUGAAACCAUAGCAAAUGCCCUUUAAGUAAGAUAUACAGUUGUUGUAAUGGAUCUUUGAGUAUUUUUAGCAGAUUUGUUUGUGUCAAUAUACUUUAGUAUCUUCCACCCUCUUACCUAUUUUAUUCAGGCAGAGGGAACUAAUUGGCACAUUCAGAAUGCUCGGCCCUCUGUUGCCACAUGCUAAAAAGCCACUUGGUGCAAACAUCCCCCUUGCUGACGCUGUCUUAUGGUUUCCAUAUGCUCUGAUUUUGGGUAAUUUCAGGGCCUGGGCUCUAAUGAGAGAUUUUAUUUCUGUAAUGCAUCGGUUGUGGUGUCGGGGAUCAACAUUUAUAGGACUCAUAUCUGGGAACUCCGAGACUUCUCAGUGGCACAUUGGGCUCUGGCAUGGGAAUACACAGUUUUUAUUUUAACAAUUCAGCCUAGUCGACACUUUUUUAGGAGUCAUGUGGCACAGUCAGUGUGGUCGAAAUAGCUUCAGUGUGGUAAAAGUUUACGUUUUUUAAGUUUCAGAUCUGUUGAUUGCUAUAGUUCUGUUCACUCCAAGAAGGUCUUGAGCACCUGAAUAAAAGACAACGCUUUGUAAGAGAACAUUUAAUUGCUUUGCACUUGAACACAGGGGUUUCUUUCUUGUUUUACUUGCAAGACCACCUAGUAUAUAAAAACUGCUUAUUUAGAAAUCUUUUUAUACCGUCCAAAAUAGAAAUGUUUAAAAUGUAUUUAAUACAGGGCCUGAAUUUGUUUUGUUUUUUUAAACUGGGGUGGGGUAGGGGGGAUUCCCCCUUACAUGGGUCACAUGGGGG
Cyprinus carpio carpio is the source of this 2049-nucleotide long non-coding RNA. The record is from Ensembl. Lineage: Eukaryota; Metazoa; Chordata; Actinopteri; Cypriniformes; Cyprinidae.